Molecule: non-coding RNA, 971 nt
Filed under: Meiglyptes grammithorax
Lineage: Eukaryota; Metazoa; Chordata; Aves; Piciformes; Picidae
Description: partial 12S ribosomal RNA
Rfam family: Bacterial small subunit ribosomal RNA
Source: RNAcentral
AAAAGACUUAGUCCUAACCUUACUAUUAAUUCUUACCAGACUUAUACAUGCAAGUAUCCGCGUCCCAGUGUAAAUGCCCUCAAUCCCUUAUCAAGACAAGAGGAGCAGGCAUCAGGCACACCCAUCGUAGCCCAAGACACCUUGCUUAGCCACACCCCCACGGGCACUCAGCAGUAAUUAACAUUAAGCAAUAAGUGUAAACUUGACUUAGUCAUGGUAAUCCAAGGGUCGGUAAAUCUUGUGCCAGCCACCGCGGUCAUACAAGAGACCCAAAUUAAUUGUCCACGGCGUAAAGAGUGGCCUAAUACUAUCGUCCUACACCUGAGGCCAAAACAUGUCCAAGCUGUCAUAAGCCCAAGACAUCCCUAAGCCCCCUAUAACCCCCACCUCAGCCUCAACGACUAACCACCCCCACGAAAGCCAGGGGACAAACUGGGAUUAGAUACCCCACUAUGCCUGGCCGUAAAUCCAGAUGCUUUUUCCACCUAAGCGUUCGCCAGGGGACUACGAGCACAAACGCUUAAAACCCUAAGGACUUGGCGGUGUCCCAAACCCACCUAGAGGAGCCUGUUCUAUAAUCGAUAACCCACGCUACACCCAACCCCCCCUUGCCCUAAGCAGCCUACAUACCGCCGUCGCCAGCUCACCUCUCCUGAGAGCCUAACAGUGAGCACAACAGCCUUACCCGCUAGAAAGACAGGUCAAGGUAUAGCCUAUGGGGGGGAAAGAAAUGGGCUACAUUUUCUGACCCAGACCACCAACGAAAGAGGGCCUGAAAACUACCCUCAGAAGGCGGAUUUAGCAGUAAAACACCACCAUCACGUUUGUUUUAAACCGGCCCUGGGACACGUACAUACCGCCCGUCACCCUCAUCACAAGCAUCCCCCUUUCCCUACCAUUAAAACUACAACCCGCCAGAGAUGAGGUAAGUCGUAACAAGGUAAGUGUACCGGAAGGUGCACUUAGCACAC